AUUGAACGCUGGCGGCAGGCCUAACACAUGCAAGUCGAGCGGCAGCGGGAAAGUAGCUUGCUACUUUUGCCGGCGAGCGGCGGACGGGUGAGUAAUGCCUGGGGAUCUGCCCAGUCGAGGGGGAUAACUACUGGAAACGGUAGCUAAUACCGCAUACGCCCUACGGGGGAAAGCAGGGGACCUUCGGGCCUUGCGCGAUUGGAUGAACCCAGGUGGGAUUAGCUAGUUGGUGAGGUAAUGGCUCACCAAGGCGACGAUCCCUAGCUGGUCUGGGAGGAUGAUCAGCCACACUGGAACUGAGACACGGUCCAGACUCCUACGGGAGGCAGCAGUGGGGAAUAUUGCACAAUGGGGGAAACCCGGAUGCAGCCAUGCCGCGUGGGUGAAGAAGGCCUUCGGGUUGUAAGGCACUUUCAGCGAGGAGGAAAGGUUGGUAGCUAAUAACUGCCAGCUGUGACGUUACUCGCAGAAGAAGCACCGGCUAACUCCGUGCCAGCCGCCGCCGUAACAC
Molecule: ribosomal RNA, 511 nt
Filed under: uncultured bacterium
Lineage: Bacteria
Description: bacterial SSU rRNA
Rfam family: Bacterial small subunit ribosomal RNA
Source: RNAcentral